Pelobates cultripes (western spadefoot toad) is the source of this 303-nucleotide non-coding RNA. The record is from the annotation of a GenBank genome assembly. Lineage: Eukaryota; Metazoa; Chordata; Amphibia; Anura; Pelobatidae.
AAUAUUGGGACAUAUAAAAAAAGACAACUCUGUUCUGAAGAGUAGCUGUUGACAUUAUAGUUGCGCAGGAACUUUGUUGACUCUAGAGAACCUCGGGCAAAUCGCACAUCCCUGUGGCGACGACUUUGCAUGCGCAUGUCAUCCAUAUCAACUUUUGAUGCCAGUUUCUGCACCUACCAUGGUGACCACGGGUAACAGGGAAUCCGGGUUCCAUUCUGCACAGGGACCCUGAGAAACAGCUACCACAUGCAAGGAAGGCAGCAGGCGCGCAAAUGACCCACUCCCUACGCGGGAAGGUAGUGA